CUUCCAAUGCUAAUGGCUUUCCAAGCGACUUUUCGCGUCUUCCAAUGCUAAUGGAUUUCCAGUCGACCUUUUUUUGCGAUUUCGAGUCAUUUGGUUCUACUCAAUCUACGUUGAAAGAGUUUUGCGACAUUGUGCUUUUCGCGAUCUCUAAUCGCCGGCGCAUACACGAAUUUCAAUUGCGCUUGAAAAUAAGUCAGUUUACAGUGAUUGGUUGAUAAGUAGGUCUGCUACAUCAUUUCAAUAAAAUAUUCAUAAAUCUUUGUUCUGUUUAGUUAUAAGUAAAUAUUAUUUGACGUGUAGGCGGUUUCAAGGGUUGGUUCGUUCGCCCAUUAAAAUCCAACGUGAGCUGAGUUCAGAUCGGCGAAAGCUAGGUCGGUUUCUAUCUUCUUUUUAAUGGAAAGCCUUAGGGUACGAAAGGACAUUUGGCUUCAGAGGUUCUGUAAUAGUGAUCUUGUAAUAUAAUUAUAGUAAAAAAAAAAAAAAAAAACCUUGCUCAGAGGUUUUCGUCCAUUUCGUUCAGAAUUGUACAACAGCUCCAUGGAUCUAAUGGUUCAGCUGUUUUGAUCAUGUAAUUGGUUAUUGGAACUUUAGCUAACUAGAAAAGAAUCUUAUAGAGUCUUGCAUUGCUCAAAGGCUUACAUACUUUCUUAGAACAAACAAAUAAUCUGCAUACCGUGUUGAUUACAUGCCCAUAUGUUUUGGAUUCAGUUGUUAUACUUCUAUCUUUAAUUUUAUACAUUUUGUAAAUUUUGGAAAUUUUUGAUAGUAUUUUAUGCUACUGAAAAAUUGCCUUUAUAUUAGUAGAUGUUCUGGGUUUUCAUAUAUGUAUUGUAUUGUAUCAUGUUCAUUGAAUUCCUUGAUAUUGUCUCUGAUUGAGACCUAGCUCAUGUACCA
RNAcentral lists this ribosomal RNA (894 nucleotides) under Argopecten irradians (bay scallop). RNAcentral describes it as "partial 16S ribosomal RNA". Lineage: Eukaryota; Metazoa; Mollusca; Bivalvia; Pectinida; Pectinidae. The record is from RNAcentral.